AAAUGCGGCGAUCAGGGACCAUCCGCGCGAAAAGAAAAGAAAAAAGAAAGAAAAAAAAUCAGAAAAUUUUGGGGUUCAAGAAAAGCAAAAAAUAAUAAUAAUCCCCAGCGGAGCGCAAAUUGUUCAUCUGUUCUUGGUAUUCAAUCACUCUUCACCCUGAUCAUCUGAAAGCCGAGGAUGUUCAUAUCGACAAGUUCACAGUGGACUGAAUAGGGGCAGCUGUAAC
Molecule: long non-coding RNA, 226 nt
Filed under: Lathyrus oleraceus (garden pea)
Lineage: Eukaryota; Viridiplantae; Streptophyta; Magnoliopsida; Fabales; Fabaceae
Description: Pisum sativum (pea) long non-coding RNA (PSAT_LNC011310)
Source: RNAcentral